CAAGCGUUAUCCGGAUUUACUGGGUUUAAAGGGUGCGCAGGCGGAUAUGUAAGUCAGUGGUGAAAUCUUCCCGCUUAACGGGAAAACUGCCAUUGAUACUAUAUAUCUUGAAUGCUGUGGAGGUAAGCAGAAUAUGUCAUGUAGCGGUGAAAUGCUUAGAGAUGACAUAGAAUACCUAUUGCGAAGGCAGCUUACUACGCAGAUAUUGACGCUCAUGCACGAAAGCGUGGGGAUCAAACAGG
Molecule: ribosomal RNA, 242 nt
Filed under: uncultured bacterium
Lineage: Bacteria
Description: partial 16S ribosomal RNA
Rfam family: Bacterial small subunit ribosomal RNA
Source: RNAcentral